CAUGUGUGUGUGUGUGUGUGUGUGUGUGUGUGUGUGUGUGUGUGUGUGUACUCAGCGACACAGUAGAUAGAUGAACCUUGGUGUGUUGAGGGCUUAGCACAAUGGAUCGUUGGACCAAGCAGAGUGGAGAGAUAGUGUGUACGGUUACUGUUAAGCACCUGAAGAAAAGAAUGUGUAUGGGUGGUAGGGUGCUCAGUGGAUGGCGGUGGUGGUGGAGGUGAAGUGAGAAGUGUGUGGGUGGUAGAGUGACAGACAUGUGGUAUAGUGAUGAUAGUGUAAAUAAAUAUGGCAAGGUGUUAGAUUGAUGAUUGUGUGUGACGCCAAGCCCUUUCCCUCCACCGUUCCCUACUUCCGGCCACCACUACCACCACCACCACCACCACCAACAGCAACAACAACAACAUCUCUGACACCUCCACUGAUACCCGCCAUGAAGCAGUAGUAGCAACAAUAAUGAUGAAAAAAAAGACCAAAGCGAUCUCUCACUCUCUCACUGGACUGGGCGGCGCUUCACUCUUGACGAAAACAAAAGAAAACAAACCCUGCAGACAAACAUGAAGCAAAACCAGAUGAAUUCUUAAGGUGUGGAUACAAAAACUACAACUCUACAUCUACAUCUACAGGGAGAGGCACAUCGCGGCCUCUCCUGCCUUCCCCACGCGAUGCCUACUAGCAGAGGAGCUCACAUAAGCAGCGACUUCUCAUCUGGAAAUACCAAGAGGAAAGUGUCAAGAGGAGGGGAGGAAGAGGAUGGGGGCGGGGGCAGGGGCAGUGGCAGUGAGGCG
Molecule: long non-coding RNA, 785 nt
Organism: Scylla paramamosain (green mud crab)
Lineage: Eukaryota; Metazoa; Arthropoda; Malacostraca; Decapoda; Portunidae
Exons: 3
Source: RefSeq, a predicted model, not a curated record